Molecule: ribosomal RNA, 468 nt
Filed under: uncultured bacterium
Lineage: Bacteria
Description: partial 16S ribosomal RNA
Rfam family: Bacterial small subunit ribosomal RNA
Source: RNAcentral
GACGAACGCUGGCGGCGUGCUUAACACAUGCCAGUCGAACGGAAAGGCCCUGCUUUUGUGGGGUGCUCGAGUGGCGAACGGGUGAGUAACACGUGAGUAACCUGCCCUUGACUUUGGGAUAACUUCAGGAAACUGGGGCUAAUACCGGAUAGGAGCUCCUGCUGCAUGGUGGGGGUUGGAAAGUUUCGGCGGUUGGGGAUGGACUCGCGGCUUAUCAGCUUGUUGGUGGGGUAGUGGCUUACCAAGGCUUUGACGGGUAGCCGGCCUGAGAGGGUGACCGGCCACAUUGGGACUGAGAUACGGCCCAGACUCCUACGGGAGGCAGCAGUGGGGAAUAUUGCACAAUGGGCGGAAGCCUGAUGCAGCAACGCCGCGUGAGGGAUGACGGCCUUCGGGUUGUAAACCGCUUUAGCCUGUGACGAAGCGUGAGUGACGGUAAUGGGUAAAGAAGCACCGGCUAACUACGUG